GGGUCUGCCGCCGGUUUCCGGUUCCACCCGACGGACGAGGAGCUGGUGAACUACUACCUGAAGCGCAAGAUCCACGGGCUCCACAUCGAGCUCGACAUCAUCCCGGAGGUGGACCUCUACAAGUGCGAGCCAUGGGACCUCGCAGAGAAGUCGUUGUUGCCGAGCCGUGACCCGGAGUGGUACUUCUUCGGGCCGAGGGACCGCAAGUACCCCAACGGCUUCCGGACCAACCGGGCGACGCGGGCAGGGUACUGGAAGUCCACCGGCAAGGACCGGCGCGUCAUGACGCAGCAGCACCACGGCGGCGGAGGAGCCGGCGGCGGCGCCCGGGCAAUCGGGAUGAAGAAGACGCUGGUAUACUACCGCGGACGCGCGCCGCAGGGGGUGCGCACCGAUUGGGUGAUGCACGAGUACCGCCUCGACGACAAGGACUCCGAGGACACCAUCGCCAUCCAGGAUACCUACGCGCUGUGCCGGGUCUUCAAGAAGAACGCCAUCUGCGCCGAGGUGGAGGAGCUGCAGGAGGGGCAGUGCAGCAUGGCACUGCUCGAGGGCGCCUGCCAGCAGCUGCUCGCCAGCAGCCGCACUGCCGGACAGGAGUACUACCAGACCCCGUCGCCCGACGUGCCCGCAGGGUCCACCUCCGGCGGUGCUGACGCCGACGCAGACGACGAGGCAGACAAGGACGACUCCUGGAUGCAGUUCAUCUCCGAGGACGCCUGGUGCUCCAGCACCGCCGACGAGGAGAGCACCUCCUGCGCCGGCUGA
This 768-nucleotide ribosomal RNA is filed under the name Triticum aestivum (bread wheat). Its description in RNAcentral is "partial small subunit ribosomal RNA". The record is from RNAcentral. Lineage: Eukaryota; Viridiplantae; Streptophyta; Magnoliopsida; Poales; Poaceae.